RNAcentral lists this ribosomal RNA (473 nucleotides) under uncultured soil bacterium. RNAcentral describes it as "bacterial SSU rRNA". It matches the Rfam family "Bacterial small subunit ribosomal RNA", at positions 26 to 518 of the family's 1533-position model. The record is from RNAcentral.
AGAACGAACGCUGGCGGCAUGCCUAAUACAUGCAAGUCGAACGGAGGCUUCGGCCUUAGUGGCGCACGGGUGCGUAACGCGUGGGAAUCUGCCCCUUGGUUCGGAAUAACAGUUGGAAACGACUGCUAAUACCGGAUGAUGACGAAAGUCCAAAGAUUUAUCGCCAAGGGAUGAGCCCGCGUAGGAUUAGCUAGUUGGUGAGGUAAAGGCUCACCAAGGCGACGAUCCUUAGCUGGUCCGAGAGGAUGAUCAGUCACACUGGAACUGAGACACGGUCCAGACUCCUACGGGAGGCAGCAGUGGGGAAUAUUGGACAAUGGGCGAAAGCCUGAUCCAGCCAUGCCGCGUGUGUGAAGAAGGUCUUCGGAUUGUAAAAGCACUUUAAGUUGGGAGGAAGGUUGUAACCUAAUACGUUGCAAACUUUGACGUUUACCGACAGAAUAAGCACCGGCUAACUUCGUGCCAGCAGCCGC